Molecule: long non-coding RNA, 1783 nt
Organism: Folsomia candida
Lineage: Eukaryota; Metazoa; Arthropoda; Collembola; Entomobryomorpha; Isotomidae
Exons: 2
Source: RefSeq, a predicted model, not a curated record
AGUGUGCACCCUGAACUCGAGAAGCAGUCGGGAACCUUCCCUUGUGAGUGAGUUCAGAACUGAUAUUACAAAAAAUUAGGGUAAAUAGUAGACGAGCCUACACUCUUAGAAAACUGGUACUAAAUCAUUACCGACCGGAGUACAUAUGUGACUCUACCGGCACUGGUACUAACGGGAAUUACCGAUCAGUAAUGUUGCGGUAAUGAAAACUUUACCACUCAGGAACAAGUUACUACCAAUCCGGUAGGAAGUUGUUACCAAAUCAACACCAGCACGGAGUAUCUAUGUGACUCUACCAGAUUUUUAACAGUGUACACUCCAAGAAGUUGUAUUACCACGCGGUAUACAUUUGUGACUCUACCGUGCCGAUAGUCGCACCAUUACCGUAGGCCAAUCUUUACUUCGGCAAAAAAUGCACGCACACGAGGUAAAAAAACUGGUAUGUGGUAUGAGACUUAAUCCUGACUUGGAGGAAUUGAGGCACCAGGCUGGUAACUUUGGCUAGAACUCGGUAGAAGAAAUGGUAGUGGAGCUAAAUAUACUACGGCUAAUGGUAACAUCUAAUGUUACCAGACACCCGGUAAUACACGAUGUUAGGAUUAUAUUACCGGAUUUUUAAGAGUUUAGAAAACCUGAACAAAAUAUUUUUCUGCAAUGGAUUUUUAUAUUUUCAUGGAAGUAAUUCUGAACAAAAAUUGAAUUUAAUUUUUGAAAUCGGGCUAAAAUUCGAAAAGUUACAGCGCGUUUAAAAAUCCAGAUUUUGGCUUAAUUUUUUUCAAAUUUCGCCACGGGCGUAAACAUACCCAUUCAAGAAAACGAAAAAAUAAGGGUGGGCUUAUUUCGGAGCGUGAAUAAUUUAAAAUUAGUGUGGUCCACAUUGGCGAUAACUACCUCAAACCUCCUCCUUGUUAGAAGAUCAGUAAUUCAACAUUUUCAAAUCUUGCUUUCCAGGGCAAAAGGGAAAUUUUACGUUCAAACGCCAAAAUUAAAUAUGACUUGUGAAUGCAGUUUUGGUUUUGAUAAGAUCGUCGGUUCCAGUGGUUGAGAGGGGUCCGAUCCUGGAUGAAAAUCGUAUGCGGAAUUUGACAUAACUCUACACAAGUGGCGGAAACACGAAAAAGAAUUUUACACUUCGGAACUGAAUUCUGUUCAGGUCAAUUUUUAUUGAACACUCGACGACCGGUUUCGUAAUUCUUCAUCAGGUCGUGUGCUAAUACAAAUUAAAGUAUAAAUAAAUAAGACUAAUUAAAUUGAACAUGAAUGUAAUUAUAUAACAGCUAAGAAAUUAUUAUUUUACCCUAUUUAAUAUUAAGUAAAGUGAUUCAUAAAUCUCCAAUUUAAUCAUGAGUUGAACUAGAAAUGUAAAAACUGAUAAAAUAAAUCUGAAAUAAAUAUAUUAUAUUUUUGUACAACAAUUAGUGUUAUGGACGCUAUUACAAAUACGAAUUACUGAAUAGUUACCUGUGUAAGACCUGUGUAUUUAGAUCCAAUAAUUUGGGUAAACAAUGUUUAAAACUAAAAUGUUUAAAAUUAUGUAUGAGCAAGGAAUUUUAUAUUGAGUGUGGAGAGCUUUCACAGCCAACCGUGGAAUAUUUCCCUCCUGCUCAUCCACCACCACGCGUCGUUUAUUUACGAGGUAUAGUACUACCAAGUAUGCAAGUUUGAAUAUUUUUAACUUUACUAUAACUUGCAUGCAUAUGAAGUUUGUGCAAUACUUCUACAUACUCUUUGUGGUACUUUGUUCAGCUUGCAAGCGAAUAAAAUCAAUUGUUAAAUUACCUAA